ACUUCACCAAUUCAUUGGCCUCAAAAUAACUCAUGCCCAUCCCCUUACACGCUGUCUCUGGGACAAAGCAGGGCUUACUUCUCUCAACAGCUCCAAAUGACUCUGUACCCCUUGGUCUGUGUACUAGGUCUUCUCCCAGAUUCAUUCUUAUACAUUUGAUUCCAAGCCCUAGUUCUGAUUCACCUCCAGAAAUCCAGAGUGGGUGCUGAAGGAGCUUAGGAAAUUUCACUCCAAAAUAUGACUCCUUGGUACAAAGAGUAUUUUUAAUUAAAGGUCCUUAGAGAUUAACAGGCCCUUGGAAGGGUCUUUCUUUCUAUCUGCAUAAUCAGAUGGCGUGUGGGCCCAUCAAAGGAACAGUCGACUUCCCUUCCCUUCCCUGUUAUCUCCCUAUAUUGCAGGAAAGAAAAUCAAGAACGCAAUCAGAACUGGCCCAAAUCAUCUUAAAUAUAAUACUUGUCUCUCAAGGCUAAUUCCGUUUGCAAAGAGAAUCAUUUACAAUCAAUCUGUUUCCCCCAUCCGGUCAUCCUCCCUAGUAACCACUCAUUGCCUCUAAGCAGAAUUAUCUACAUUUCUCAUCUCCCCCUCCCCUCUAAAAGGAGGGCAUAAAAAUUUCUGGACCACUGAAUAUUAGAUAAUCAUUCUAUGAGUCUCCCCAUGUGUAUGGUAAAUAAACUUCUUCCUCUUAUUGAUCUGCCUUAAUUGUGACUUGAUCUUUCACCCCCACACUGCACAAUAGCAAAGGAUCUCAUUUUGAGAAGGUUGGAUGAUUUUGGAGCGUCAUGGAAACUUGGAAUGUUAGGACUGGAAGGUCUUACUGGAUCACCUAAUCCAGCCCCUUUGUUUGGGGCAAGAGGAACCCAAGGCCCAGAGAGGCUCCGUGGCCUUCCCCAGCGCACAGCCGCUUGGCAGCCCACACACAAUGAGGAUCUGUGGCCCUGACUCUUCUACUUCUUCUACAACAUCUCGCUCACGUUUUGAAAGAGUUACUCUGGCUAGCACUGGACACUGGUCAUAUUGCAUCAAGGACACUGGUCAUAUUGAAUCAAGGGCCCACUAUACUCCAAGCAGACCUCAUCUUAACUAAUUAUAUCUGAAAUGGCCCUGUUUCCAAAUCAGGUCAUAUGCUGAAAUAUCGGCGGAGAUGGCUCAACAGAACUGUCCAGGAAGAAGUCACGAGGUUGUCUCCUCUGGAGAUGGGACCAAUCAGAACCAUCAACUGUAGUUGAACAAUAGUACCCUGAAGCUGAAAACACUCCCUUUAAAAGCUCUGUAUUUCUGCUUAUAGACAGCGAAAUGGUAAGCAAGGAGUCUGCCUUUUCCUCAUUUGCCAGCAAAUUAAUAAAAGUUCCUUUCCUUCUCCUCAAACCACUUGUCCUGAUGCAACCUUGGGAACAGUGCUGAGCUUUCAGUAGCACCAUCACCCUGGUCCUCCUCCAGCAGGUUCAGCUGAGCCCCUCCCUCCUGCAGGAGAGGCCUCUAGUGCCAAGGAGGACAAGUCUGCCCUGAAAAGCUCCACACAGACAAAGAAAUCUGCUAAUCUGCCUGGUAUACUUUUGUUUUGUGAACUAAAAUAAAAUUUUAAGGCUCAACCCCCACCAGCUGUGAAUGGACCCCCUUGUGGCCAAAGGA
Non-coding RNA from Microcebus murinus (gray mouse lemur), 1629 nucleotides. The record is from RefSeq and is a predicted model, not a curated record. Lineage: Eukaryota; Metazoa; Chordata; Mammalia; Primates; Cheirogaleidae.